This 2714-nucleotide ribosomal RNA is filed under the name Triticum aestivum (bread wheat). RNAcentral describes it as "partial small subunit ribosomal RNA". The record is from RNAcentral. Lineage: Eukaryota; Viridiplantae; Streptophyta; Magnoliopsida; Poales; Poaceae.
CCACGCAUGAACCAUUCCCCUCCCUCUCCUCGCGCAAGCAUCCUCUCCUCGUACCCUCGCACGCGCUAGGGUUCCUGCGCCGCUGCCACACGGGAGCUUGUCGACCAGCCCAGCGUCCUCCGGAUCGCCGCCGCCCCUCUCCGGAUCGCCGCCGUCACCGCCCCGGAUCGCCACUUUCGCCGUCGGAAUCGCUGCCAACGUCUCGUCGCCCCGGAUCGUCGCCGUCCGGAUCGCCGCCGUCGCCGGGCAAUGGCGGUGGAGGUCGACGGCACCCGGAAGCGCGGGGCGGCGGCCUUCCUGGACGACCCCUUCGAGGUGCUGCAGGCGAAGCGGGGCCGGUACUCACCGUCCGCCACCGCGGCCUCGGUCGCCGACCUCGGCAUCAACAUGGAGUUCGACCCCGUCGAGGCGGUCCAGUCCGUCUUCCCCAGCGCCGAUCCGCAGCUUCUGCGGGGCUAUCUCGAAGCGUCGGGAAAUGUCUUGGAUGCUGCCAUCAGAAGCUUCAGGGAUUAUUUGGCAUCGGAUUCAGCAACGACCAAUGCUGGUGCCUCCUCAUCUGGAGUGGCAUCUGAUGUGCCGGUGAUGAAUACUCCAGCCAACAGGACUGAAUGGGCGGAGCUAAUUGUCAAGGAGAUGUCGUCCGCUUCAGAUCCGAAUGACACCAGGAAUCGAGUCUUCAGGAUACUUGAAAUGUUCGACAAAUGUGCCGCAAACUGCAGUACUCCUGAUGAGGCGCAUAAAAUGCGUGAGAUGAUUAUAGCAACUAUUUUGGGCUGACCUCUUGCUGUUCUAGCAAAAAAAAAUUAGUAUUUUGUUUUUCUCUACGAAAUAUAAGGACCGAAUGGAUUUUUGGUCUAUAUUGCAAAUAUGUAUAAUGGAUUAUUGGUGAGCUCGGUAUUGGUGGUCUACUCCCUUUCAUCCCUGUAUUUCUAAGAAAACCAAACUAAUAUGCAUCCAUGUAUUUUUUCUAAUUCAAGUUCUUUCAUAUGGGUUACGUAAAAAGCAAAUGUUGCUUCUUUUUAUUCAGAUGCUUUGAGAACCAAGUCUACCUGGUUCUCUUCCUUUCAUCCAUGUAUUUUAAUGUGCAGUGUACAGUGUGUAGAAUGAGCAAACUUGUGAAUCUAGAGCACAAACUCAUGAUUGAUCAAGGGAGUGGCACUGCCGGCUGGGUUAGAGUAUAAUCAACUGUACUUGGAGUUUUUUGUGAUACGUGUAGCUUUCAGCUUGCGAGCCUUUCAAAUAUGCAAGUGUCCGAUGCCAUAGGCUACUAUGGAAGUUGUGAAUGUUAUGUAGUUUCUGGUACUACUUGCAUUCAGAAAUGAACUAAUUCAGGCUGGCCAUCUAAGUUUUACAUUCCGUAUGUAUAGCGAGAUCAAAUUUAUUUGUUCUAGGGACAUUUCUGAACAUGCGUAUGGAAUAAGAUCAUGAACACGUAUAUGGAUUAUGAAUUUAGUAUUUUUUUGAGAAGUGAAUUUACUUUUAUCUAUUGAUAAAAAAUAUUUUUGUUGUCAGACGAAGGGCACGACGGAUGGCUCCGGCGGGAAGGUGAGCAGCGGUGGAGAUAAGCGAGGAAAGGAGUAGUGUGAGGCGGUUGGCGGUGUUGAAGAGGAUGAGAGGGCCGCACACUCGGUGCCAUGCUACUGGAGGGCCCGCUGCUGGAGGCAGUCCUAGGGAUUUUUGGAUCAAUGACAGUAACGUUGGCGACCCAGUUAUCUUCUUCCAUCUCUGGAUCCUGAAUCUACAGCUCUCUAAUCUGCAAAUACACGCAGUAGCGACGGGUACAAUUGCAUGGUUGUGACUGCCGACCAGUACACGAGUGGGGCUGCCGUUCUCCUACCGGUGAAAUUUGAAACUUCCCUUGAGAGAUGCUAAAGUACUAUUUAUUUGACCGGCUUGGUGUACAUUGACCUUUACCGCCUGAAUGUUAUGAAUUAUAUUCGUGGUGGAUGAUAUGAAUGUCGGGGAGGUGAUGGAGAAGUAUGACGAGGAACUUGUGAAGGCUGAGGGCAUGGAGAAGAAGGGGAGAAUCUAAGUGGGAGGCUGACAUUGGCGAAGGAGAAGGCUAGAUGAGUGUUGGCAUUGGCAGACAACGGGUCAUUGCAGAUGGCAUUCACUGAAUUAUUCAAGGAAUUGAAGCUCCCAAAAUGAUCAAAUAAAUAAGAUAGCAAUGAGACAUAGAAUGUCGUGUUAUUAAUUAUCUUUGUCCUCAAAAAGGAUGUCGUGAUAGUAGUCGUGCUUUGCAUAUAAGUUGCUUCAACAACUAUAUUCUUGAAAUGAUGUGCCAUAGGUAGGUGGAAAAACUAAGAAAUACAAGCAUUACUCUGUGUGUGUGAGAGAGUGCUCUACACGCUGCCUUUAUGGAUUAAACCGGUGCUCUAAUUAAAUGAUAAAUUGAGUGUACUUUUUUUCUUUGAUCGUUAUAUGACAAAAUGAAUGAACAUGUGAGUGCUAUCCAGAUUAUCCAUGAAGUGCCCUGACAUAUGCUAUAAAGAGAUCAUGUGAAAACAAAGCUGAAGUUGUUGCCCAGGAUGAGAAGGAAAGUGGUCUUCCAGCAACACUAAACAUGGUCAUGUAUUACACAUACAUAUGAUGAUGUAUGUAAUGCGUCCGAUCAUUGUUGUUUUUUAUGUCAAGUUUAUUUGUCUUGCAUUAUGAUGGUCCAUGUAAAAAUACUUGGAUGAGUUGCCAACCCAGUAAGAAGUUUGCUUUAAUUU